UACGUAGGUGGCAAGCGUUGUCCGGAUUUACUGGGCGUAAAGCGCGCGCAGGCGGAUUGGUCAGUCCGGGGUGAAAUCUCACGGCUCAACUGUGAGCGGUCCCCGGAUACUGCCAGUCUCGAGGUGUCUAGAGGAGAGCGGAAUUCCCGGUGUAGUGGUGGAAUGCGUAGAUAUCGGGAAGAACACCCGUGGCGAAGGCGGCUCUCUGGGACGGUACUGACGCUGAGACGCGAAAGCGUGGGGAGCGAACAGG
This 253-nucleotide ribosomal RNA is filed under the name uncultured bacterium. RNAcentral describes it as "partial 16S ribosomal RNA". It matches the Rfam family "Bacterial small subunit ribosomal RNA", at positions 524 to 776 of the family's 1533-position model. The record is from RNAcentral.